RNAcentral lists this ribosomal RNA (721 nucleotides) under Tritirachium sp. CBS 473.93. RNAcentral describes it as "eukaryotic LSU rRNA". The stretch from base 309 to 462 matches the Rfam family "5.8S ribosomal RNA". Lineage: Eukaryota; Fungi; Basidiomycota; Tritirachiomycetes; Tritirachiales; Tritirachiaceae. The record is from RNAcentral.
AACCUGCGGAAGGAUCAUUAGUGAAUUUAAAAAAAAUAUAGAAUUGGAUCGUAAAAAAAUCCAAAUUCUUAUUUUCUUAUUCUCUCUCUUCCACUGUGAAAUUUUAAACUAUUCGGGCGGUUUUUUUUACCGGUCGAGGUUUAGAGAUGGGACUGUUAAAAAAUUGUUGGGGGGAACGCGCUCCACUUAAGUGGAGCAAUUCCCAACAACCUUUCUUUUUUCUCUCCUUGAUCUAGCCGAAUUACCCCUAAUUUUUUUUUUAGAGACAAUGUUAAAUUUGAAUGUGUUUUAUUUAAUAAACAAAUUAAAACUUUCAGUGACGGAUCUCUUGGCUCUCGCAUCGAUGAAGAACGCAGUAAAUCGCGAUACGUAAUGUGAAUUGCAGAAAUAUGUGAAUCAUCGAAUCUUUGAACGCAUCUUGCGCUCUGUGGUACUCCUCAGAGCAUGCCUGUUUGAGUGUCUUUUAAUUCUCAUCUCAUAAUUUUUAUUAAUUUAAAAGUUAUAUAGGUGGAUCGUGGCUGUUUUUGACGAUUUAGUUUGUCUCAGCUGAAAUAUAGAAAGCGACGUCUAAAAUUCAGAGUAAUUAAGAUGUUAACGUCGGCGUGAUAAGUAAAUUACGCAGUCUGUUUUCUUGUCUAUAUAUCUCUGGUGUUCGCUACGAAUUAUAACCUAAUUUUCAACAUUUGACCUCAAAUCAGGUAGGACUACCCGCUGAACUUAA